Molecule: non-coding RNA, 45 nt
Filed under: Schistosoma curassoni
Lineage: Eukaryota; Metazoa; Platyhelminthes; Trematoda; Strigeidida; Schistosomatidae
Source: RNAcentral
AUCCAGCUGACGAGUCCCAAAUAGGAUGAAAUGAGCUUCCUGGAU